AUUGAACGCUGGCGGCAGGCCUAACACAUGCAAGUCGAGCGGAUGAAGGGAGCUUGCUCCUGGAUUCAGCGGCGGACGGGUGAGUAAUGCCUAGGAAUCUGCCUGGUAGUGGGGGAUAACGUCCGGAAACGGGCGCUAAUACCGCAUACGUCCUGAGGGAGAAAGUGGGGGAUGUUCGGACCUCACGCUAUCAGAUGAGCCUAGGUCGGAUUAGCUAGUUGGUGGGGUAAAGGCCUACCAAGGCGACGAUCCGUAACUGGUCUGAGAGGAUGAUCAGUCACACUGGAACUGAGACACGGUCCAGACUCCUACGGGAGGCAGCAGUGGGGAAUAUUGGACAAUGGGCGAAAGCCUGAUCCAGCCAUGCCGCGUGUGUGAAGAAGGUCUUCGGAUUGUAAAGCACUUUAAGUUGGGAGGAAGGGCAGUAAGUUAAUACCUUGCUGCAUUGACGUUACCAACAGAAUAAGCACCGGCUAACUUCGUG
RNAcentral lists this ribosomal RNA (484 nucleotides) under uncultured bacterium. RNAcentral's name for it is "partial 16S ribosomal RNA". It matches the Rfam family "Bacterial small subunit ribosomal RNA", at positions 30 to 507 of the family's 1533-position model. The record is from RNAcentral.